AGUGAACGCUGGCGGUAGGCCUAACACAUGCAAGUCGAACGGCAGCACAGUGCUAGCUUGCUAUUACGGGUGGCGAGUGGCGGAUGGGUGGGGAAUACAUUGGAAUUUACAUUUUCGUGGGGGAUCACGUAGGGAAACUUACGCUAAUACCGCCUACGACCUACGGGUGAAAGUAGGGGAUUUUUGGUCCUAGCGCGAUUGACUGACGGGAGGUUGGCUUAGUUAGUUGGCGGGGUAACGGCCCACCAAGGCGACGAACCGUAGCUGGUCUGAGAGGAUGAUCAGCCACACUAGAACUGAGACACGGUCCAGACUCCUACGGGAGGCAGCAGUGGGGAAAGUUGGACAAGGGGCGCAAGCCUGAUCCAGCCAUACCGCGUGGGUGAAGAAGGCCUUCGGGUUGUAAAUCCCAUUUGUUGGGAAAGAAAAGCAGCAGGUUAAUACCCCGCUGGUCUGACGGUACCCAAAGAAUAAGCACCGGCUAACUUCGUG
This 492-nucleotide ribosomal RNA is filed under the name uncultured bacterium. RNAcentral describes it as "partial 16S ribosomal RNA". It matches the Rfam family "Bacterial small subunit ribosomal RNA", at positions 29 to 507 of the family's 1533-position model. The record is from RNAcentral.